Polyodon spathula (Mississippi paddlefish) is the source of this 2200-nucleotide long non-coding RNA. RefSeq lists it as uncharacterized. The record is from RefSeq and is a predicted model, not a curated record. NCBI's taxonomy places the organism in Eukaryota, Metazoa, Chordata, Actinopteri, Acipenseriformes, Polyodontidae. The transcript is spliced from 6 exons.
UUGAAAUGCACACAGACAACAAUUGAUCCGAAGUCGCACUCGGUUCUAUGCGAGCGCUCGGUUAAGCUUGAACUUGACCAUGGGAAUUGCAUGCGAAAUGAGGUAGCUCCCGUGCCCCUUGCGCCCCUUCCUUUAUGCUGCACAAGUUGUUACGGCUGAUGUCAACCCUCAUUAUCAUAAAACUCAGCCCGCUUCUAAUUAAAGAAAAGGAACAGUUGGGAGAGGGGCUUAUUUCACCAGACACCACAGCCAGAGUCCUCACGCACUACUCCGCACCAAGCACCCGGCACCACACGGCUUUCUCAGUGGCAACAGGUGCUGAAGGGAAGUAUCUCCUUGGCGGGAUGAGGACGUCAUUCACCCGAGGGUUCGUGAGAAGACCCCCACCUUCAAAGCGCACAGAGAAGCGGUCAUUUUAACAAGGCGACUCUGACAAGAAGUGCAAUGAGUUCCACCAGAGGUUGGGAGAGAACCACCCUGCACCCUAGGACUUGGAUAGAUGGGCCCUGAAGGGCCACAAGCAAGCUAGCCCAAGCUUGAGGAAUCUCUGGGGAUGUGGGGAUGGCUUCUGUUACAGACAAUUAGCAGUUCAGAGUGAUAGCCACUAUAGAGGAGGAAGAUGAGGAGGAGGAGGAGGAGGAUACAGCUGAACCCAGAGAUCUUGCAGCUGCUCAUUGCCACAGGCUCUUCAUCCCUCACCAUCUCCCUGAGAAGACAGGGCUAUGUACAGGCUUGGCCCCGGAGUGGGCAGGCAGGCUCCAGAGCCCCGCGGCUCCCCAUCUAUACAAGCCUCCUCAGCGAAAUCAAUACACAGAAUACACAGCAGGGUCGCACCACGCAGCCCUCAACACCUCACACAGGGAGCCCACGGCACACGCACUGGGGCAGUCAGGUCCAGACUAUACAGGGCAGCAACACAACCUCGGCUUGCAGGGGUGCACUGUUUAGUUUUGCCGACGGGAGUGGAAACAAUCUACUUUCUAACCUGUAGAUCAGCUCUAAAAAUUACAUGCAUAAAAAACACAAGAAGCCUUUAACUUCAGCACAGAAGCAGCAGUUUUGAGAAUGGUAGAUCACAAUAAAGAAACAGAAGUCCAAAGUAACACGUACAAAUUUGCACAGCACACCACGACUGCCACACUGCGCCAGUACAGCGCGACUAGAGGCUACAGAGGUGGGAAGCCAACACAUGUACGUCCGUUAACACCACAGACCUCACUCCAGUGCCAGAGCCAUCAGACUUUCACUUUCCUUCAAUGCAGCAGUCUGGCAUUUCUGGGGGUACAUCUGUCCAUUCCAACUUACCAACAUUUAAGUUAUUUAAUUAAAUCAGUGCAGACUCUUGGAACCCAAAAAACAGGACUCUUCUUACCCUCUAAGUCAGAGCAGCAGGCAGAAUCUAAAAUAAAACUCUUUUACAGCAAGAUUUACCUUUUUGAGCUGCUCCCCUAUUGGAUUUGCGAUGGGAUCAACUGCACUAGUUCCCUAACUUGAAAACACUUAAUAAAGUGACUGCUGGGAUGAACCCGGUUAUCUUUCUCCAGGAAGACACAGCCACAUUCCCAGCCUUGGCUAUCCAAGGAUUGAUCCAGCAUCCCGAGGGGAUCAACCACAAAGUGAUCGGACCUGGAACUGGUUUGACUGGAUCGGAAUGUCCUCUUUCAAAAUGGCUGCCGAGAUGUGCAGAAUAGGGUGACAGGAUGAAAUAGAACACUUAGAAAGCUCUUCGUCCUAGCUCUAGAACCCCCUCUGUGCAGUGCCAGCAUGGGCACUGAGAAAGCGAGAUACCAAGACAUGCCAACACCAGCAGGAAUAGGUCUGGAAAUGUGUUGGAACUGAUUGAAAACCUGGACAGCAGUAGGUGAGUUUUUUUUUUUUAAGAUGAAGUCAUCGUCUAUUUAUAAUGGGAGUGUAGGUAUUCACAGGUAAGUACUGGCAAGCAUAUAGCUCCCAAUAAUAAGUUUCACAUGUUCUGUGUGCUAUUUCAACAUAUUGCACAAGCACUACAUACAAAAACAAUAAAGGAAAAAAAAAAAUCAGUUUAAAUAUGAAUUGUGUAUUUCUUUUGUGUUUGGCGUACUGAUCUUAAUAACUUAUUUUGUAAGAUUUUGUCAUGUGUUUUAGCUGCAGUAUUUGCUAUUGUGUUAUAAACCUGAUUUAAGAGUCAUUUAGAGUGGUGGUGUUUUAAAAAGUUACAGUU